UUUUAAGCAAAGAUCAAUACAAAAACAUUCCAGUUUGACUGAAAGGGGCGGCAGUUUCCGUUUAGGUAAAAUGGAUAGAAUAAUAGUACUUACCUCAAAGGAUUGUUGAAGAGAAUCAACAAGAUGAUAUCCCUGAAGCACUGGGAAUAGUGUCUGGCACACAGCACUCUCCCAGGAGCACACCGCGGCGCUAGAGAAGACCAGGAAAAAGGACCUGAGCCAGCUUGCCGUCUUAACAAAAAUUUCAAACUUUGCAAAGCGGUAUACCUUCUUAUUCUCCAGUUCAGUAUUGCCAGUGAAGUCAUACUGAACGCAGACAAGGAAAAGAAAGAAAAAGAAACUCAAUGAGAUAUGUUGUCAUCUUCCCUGUUUUAUGGAUGAAGUUCUAAGUAGAGGUUCGGAGAAGGUCUUCCAAAUUAUGAAAAUUGGCAAUUGGGCGAUGUUCACAGUGUCCCGUCUACUGCCUGGGGCCCCUGUCAUGCAGCAGCUGCAGAUACCACGUCCUUGGGUUGGAGCCCCUUCUCUACUCACGUUGGACAUAGAAUCACUUUUCCAAUCAGGUGAAGAAUGAAGGAUGCCCUGGAAUGAAUUUGUGAAGGGGUGUGUGUGUGUGUGUGUGUGUGUGUGUGUGUGUGUGUGAGAGAGAGAGAGAGGAGACAGAGAGAGAGAAAGUGUGUAUGUGCAUGGUGGGGAGUUCCAGGUAGACAGAACUGUGAAUGUAAAGCCUCUAUUUUUGAGUCCACAGAAAGCAUCUAUUUCAUGAGUAUUAUUCUACAUAAUACAUUGAACACAUUGUGUUAACUCAUUAAGGCAAAGUAAAAUUGCAAAUUUUGUUCUUUAAAAAAAUUAUGAACUAAUAAACUUCGUUAAAAUCUUUUCUCUGCACCUAUCAGAAUUUGUAGGAGGCAAGUGCACGCAGUCAC
This 923-nucleotide long non-coding RNA is filed under the name Homo sapiens (human). RNAcentral's name for it is "HSALNT0148109". Lineage: Eukaryota; Metazoa; Chordata; Mammalia; Primates; Hominidae. The record is from RNAcentral.